RNAcentral lists this transfer RNA (72 nucleotides) under Dictyoglomus turgidum. RNAcentral's name for it is "tRNA-Ala". It matches the Rfam family "tRNA". From Rfam's summary of the family: Transfer RNA (tRNA) molecules are approximately 80 nucleotides in length. The record is from RNAcentral. Lineage: Bacteria; Pseudomonadati; Dictyoglomota; Dictyoglomia; Dictyoglomales; Dictyoglomaceae.
GGGCCGGUAGAUCAAUGGUAGAUCGCCUCGCUUGCAACGAGGAGGUUCGGGGUUCAAUUCCCCGCCGGUCCA